GGCAGUGACGACUCUGGAGAACUGGACACGGACGACAGCGACACGACGAGGGGAUUUGACUCUCGUGGAUCACGGGGCCUCAUCGGCAGGUCAACGCCCCUACUCCGUGCUGCCUCGACUAUGGCUGCCUGAAUCAACUUGGGAUUCAUGCUCACCUACAUGUGAUCUUGUAGUUGCAUUGCAAAACACAUGGUUAAGUGCUCCUGAAGGGACGAACGCUGCUAGAGAUCAAUAAAUCCUUCCACGGUGUUCGCAACAUUUUGUAUGACAGGUCCAGCGACGGGGCAUGCCCGAGCUACUGCUCCUGGUGUGGCGUGCUGUGGAACAUCAGUCAACCUGUCAGGGUUCAAUCAUGAUGGCGAAAUCUCAUGGCCCACAUUGCAAUGAGAAGCAGAGUUGUGACAUACACCAACGAUGACCAGAUGAUUGAUAUUCUUCUUUGAAGAAGAAGCUGGCAAAUUAUAUUUCACUUUUCUAUUGCACGUGGUAGAUGGUUAAAAGAUUUGUCAUCACUAGCUUGGUACUGUAAAUGGUUCCUACAUUGCGGACAUGAUGUUCAGUUUGUGUCUUUCUUCACUUGUAAAUGGUAGAUUUACUUGAUGUGAGAAAGUAGGUUAAAAGUCUCU
Molecule: long non-coding RNA, 626 nt
Organism: Hordeum vulgare subsp. vulgare (domesticated barley)
Lineage: Eukaryota; Viridiplantae; Streptophyta; Magnoliopsida; Poales; Poaceae
Exons: 4
Source: RefSeq, a predicted model, not a curated record